Molecule: ribosomal RNA, 406 nt
Filed under: uncultured bacterium
Lineage: Bacteria
Description: partial 16S ribosomal RNA
Rfam family: Bacterial small subunit ribosomal RNA
Source: RNAcentral
AUUGAACGCUGGCGGCAGGCCUAACACAUGCAAGUCGAACGAGUGGCGGACGGGUGAGUAAUGUCUGGGAAACUGCCUGAUGGAGGGGGAUAACUACUGGAAACGGUAGCUAAUACCGCAUACCAUCGGAUGUGCCCAGAUGGGAUUAGCUAGUAGGUGGGGUAACGGCUCACCUAGGCGACGAUCCCUAGCUGGUCUGAGAGGAUGACCGGCAACCCUUGAACGGAGCCAGGGUCCAGACUCCUACGGGUGGCAGCAGGGGGGAAUAUUGCACAAUGGGCGCAAUCCUGAGGCAGCCAUGCCGCGUGUAGGAAGAAGGCCUUCGGGUUGUAAAGUACUUGCAGCGGGGAGGCGUUACCCGCAGAAGAAGCACCGGCUAACUCCGUGCCAGCAGCCGCGGUAAUUC